CAACUGGUUUCUCUUCAGAUCGAACAAAUCUUUCGCCUUUUACUAAAGAUUUCCGUGGAGAAAAACAAAUCAGUUUUCACCUAAUUUUUUGAUACCUUGCUUUAGCAAGGUG
Symphalangus syndactylus (siamang) is the source of this 112-nucleotide small nuclear RNA. RefSeq annotates it as U5 spliceosomal RNA. The record is from RefSeq and is a predicted model, not a curated record. NCBI's taxonomy places the organism in Eukaryota, Metazoa, Chordata, Mammalia, Primates, Hylobatidae.